Molecule: long non-coding RNA, 5017 nt
Organism: Oncorhynchus tshawytscha (Chinook salmon)
Lineage: Eukaryota; Metazoa; Chordata; Actinopteri; Salmoniformes; Salmonidae
Source: Ensembl
CUAGAAAUACCAGACAGACACACUCUUCUGGAAUACUCGGGCAGAGACAGACAGAUUGAAUACUCAGCGACAGACCGACAGACUGCAUACACUGAGAGAAACCGACAGACUCAUCUAGAAUACUCUGAGAGAGACAGACGGGCAGACUACUCAGAGAGAGACAGACGGGCAGACUACUCAGAGAGAGACAGACGGGCGGACUACUCGGAGAGAGACAGACGGGCGGACUGCUCGGAGAGAGGCAGACGGGCGGACUACUCCGAGGGAGGCAGGCGGGCGGACUACUCCGAGGGAGGCAGGCGGCCGGACUACUCCGAGGGAGGCAGGCGACCGGACUUCUCCGAGGGAGGCAGACGGGCGGACUUCUCCGAGGGAGGCAGACGGGCGGACUUCUCCGAGGGAGGCAGACGGGCGGACUACUCCGAGGGAGGCAGACGGGCGGACUACUCCGAGGGAGGCAGACGGGCGGACUACUCCGAGGGAGGCAGACAGGCGGACUACUCCGAGGGAGGCAGACAGGCGGACUACUCCGAGGGAGGCAGACAGGCGGACUACUCCGAGGGAGGCAGACAGGCGGACUACUCCGAGGGAGGCAGACAGGCGGACUACUCCGAGGGAGGCAGACAGGCGGACUACUCCGAGGGAGGCAGACAGGCGGACUACUCCGAGGGAGGCAGACAGGCGGACUACUCCGAGGAGGCAGACAGGCGGACUACUCCGAGGGAGGCAGACAGGCGGACUACUCCGAGGGAGGCAGACAGGCGGACUACUCCGAGGGAGGCAGACAGGCGGACUACUCCGAGGGAGGCAGACAGGCGGACUACUCCGAGGGAGGCAGACAGGCGGACUACUCCGAGGGAGGCAGACAGGCGGACUACUCCGAGGGAGGCAGACAGGCGGACUACUCCGAGGGAGGCAGACAGGCGGACUACUCUGAGGGGGAACUGGACGAAGACCAAGAACACACACAUCAUCACAGUGAACACACACAUCAGCACAGUGAACACACACAUCAGCACAGUGAACACACACACUUCGAGCAGGCCCCAGCAAGCUGGCUCAGUGUUCCACAGGUGUAUCUGCUGCCGGACACACCCGCAGCAAAGAGGGUUGUCGGCCCCAGCCACCUGUCCAAAUACCUGAAAGUGAAGGGCCUUCACAACACAGAACCGAUCAUAGGUCUGGGCAGUGUGGUGGAGUGUAGAGGUAUAUCCCAGGCUACGUUUUUCAUGUGUGUGAGCUGUGCUGAGACUCUCUCCAGUACACACAUCUGUGAACACAUCAUCAGCGCGCAACACCAGCAGUGCUACAUGUUUUCCCAGUAUAGUCCUAUGCGCUGUGAUUGGUUGAGAGAGCAGCAGCAGCCUCCGAGUCCACAGCUCCUCAGGAAGGUUGCUUCAGCACUGUCACAACUGGAGGUGGAUCUAGAUGCACAGGUGAUGCUGCUGGAUCAGAUGUGGUAUAACCUUGUGAAGUCAGCUCCAUUCUACGAAGCCAUGUACAUGCUGCAGGAACAGAAUCAGAAUGCCCUGUGUCUACACACAGCAAGCAGACAUCAGCUUUUUCCCCCAGUUGGUCCUGACCCAGCAACGGAGCAGGGCUUUGACCAGAACCACAGAGUGAUGGAUAAACUGACCAUGGAUCAGAUUGAGCCCCAUCACCCCCUGCAGACAGCAGAUACAGUGGCUGGUAAACUGACUGGAGAUCAGCUGGAGUCAGGCCAGUGCAUACAGACCGCAGACAGACGGCCAGAUAAUCAGAACCCGGAUCAGCCCCAGUGGAGCCAGAGCUCAGAGAGAACAGAGAUGGUCCCUGAGCCAAUAAGAGCCAAGACACCACAUAAUUCUGAGCCAAUCAGAGACCAGACACCACAGAACAUUGAGCCAAUCAGAGCCAAGACGUCAAAGAAUUCUGACCCAAUAAAAUUCCAGACACCACAGAACACUGGGCCAAAAAGAGCCUGGAUGCCACAGAACUCCUCAGAACCACAUCUGGACCAAGACAACACAGUCAUUGUCAAACAGGAGCCUGUGGACCCCAAGGUGGAACCUCAGCCCCAUCCUCAUACCCAGCCUGAGGUGGACCCCUUAAAGGGUGUGUGUGAGGUGGAGUACCAGGGGACCGUCCUAGCACACAGCCAAGAGGUGACACGAAUAGGAGGGGCCACAGAGAACUCCCUUCAACCCACCAAGAACUUGAGAGACUCCGUCAACAACAGCUUGCCUUUGGUCGGUCUCAGUGCAAUGAUAGAGUGUUGCAGUGAGGGCCAGGUGUCCUUCUACCUGUGUGUGUCGUGUGGCAGCAAAAUUGAAAAAACUCUACUCAUCAGCCACGUCCUCAAAUACAGACACCGACAGCUGUACCUGACAAUGAGGUACCCGUGGUAUUUCCUUGGUGUGGUACCAGCCCGAGGGUUGGCAGAACAGUCCAGACUGAUGCAGAUUGCUAAGGAGGUGGAGGAGCAGAACCAUGAUGAGCCUGGCACGCUACAGGAGGUGAUUCUGGCCCCUGCUGACUUUGCCGAGAUCAAACGGAUGCUGUUUGAUAAAGCUGUAUCCCGUUUGCAGGAGAUCUGUAGAGAGCAGAACCAGACUGAACUCCUCACCAUGGUCACCAGCAAACCUGAACCAAUAGUGGUCAAGCAGGAGAUUGUGGAGUGCCAGGUGGUCUCCCAUCAGGCCUUGGGGCUAUUCCUACCGCCACAGAGAUGUAGGAGAAACACGGGAAAACGUUGUUCUAACGUUGAGGGGUCAGAGGUGAGGGGUCAGCAGCAGGUGAAGAAGAGAAAGGUGUCCAGCCCCCCUGAGGGUCACACUGCCCCUGUCAUCUGUCUAUCAUCUCCUGAAGUCAUCAAGUCUUCUGAAACACACACUGUCAACCAGACACACAUCAUCACACCCUCACCCACACAAUCCAACACUAAGCCGAAACUCACAUACACACACUCUGACUCUCAAACUAAACUUAAACCUUCACGCACACACCCCAAACCCAGUUCAACAGCCCCAGAAUAUACUAGACCCAAACUCAUUCCCCAUUCUGCCACCAAGCCCUCCGGUAUCCCUGCCGACAGCCUGACUGUUGCCAAAGAGUCCUCUAGCAAGAAAGCCACUCACACACUGUGCAAACCCACACACACACUGUCCAAUAGCCAGAAGCUCACUGACAAACAUUCGGACAAGAAUGAGUCUCAGAAACAUACUGAAAAGGCUAAACCUACUCGCACACACAGUGAACGCACACACAGAAACCGCACACACACUCGCAAACACAGUGACCUCACACGCACUGACAAAGCCAAAGACGGACACAGUGACAAGACCAAACGCAGACACAGUGACCGCAAACACACUAACAGACAUUCUGACCACUCACGCUGUCACACCAGCUCUAAGAGACAUAAUCGUAGCUCCAGCCGUUCCUCCAAAGCCUCCCCCAGAGCUAGUCCCUCUGAGCCCCCUGCUCUCCCCCUACUCCCCGCUGCAUUCUCCCCCACCAGAGCCACUUCUGCGGCGAGCCUAAGCCAGGUCAAACCCAGCCAACCUUCCUGCCUAGUCAACAAACAACUACCCAAACAGUCCAGCCAACCAACCAAGAGACCUCCCAACCCAACCUCAGCAGUCAGACCUCUCCAGACCCAGGCCAACCCUCCCAACAACACCUCUUACCCCCACCUGCACCCAGAAAGAACCGGACCCAUGACCCCCCACUCGGACCCAUGACCCCCCACCCGGACCCAUGACCCCCCAACCCCCGGCAAUCCCUCCCUGCCUCACUCCUCCACCUCCACCCCAGCCAGGUCCUGUCUACGCCUCUGGGGUUAAGAAGAAGACUUCCAUUGUAGACUGUGAUCAAUUUGUGGAAUACUUUGUCUCUUUGUUGCGCUCCCCCCACUUUCCUCCUGCCCUAACCACCCCAGAGAGUGCAGAGAGCGCUGAGGCUCAUACCAGGGCAACAGGCCCUAACCCUGGAGGGGAGAAGAUGAGGGGUGACUCAAAAGGUCAUGCCAUCGCCAUAGUGGCGGCAUUACCCAACCCGCUAAAAAGGAAGCUAUCCCUACAGGAACCCGAGGACAGAGACCCCUGGAACUACGAGAGCCGACAGUUCACUCCCAACUCCAAACCUAACCCCAACUUCAAACCUAACCCAAACUUCCAGAACCCUGACUCCAAACCUAACCACAACUUCCAGAACCCUGACUCCAAACCUAACCACAACUUCCAGAACCCUAACUCCAAACCUAACCACAACUUCCAGAACCCUAACUCCAAACCUAACCACAACUUCCAAAACCCUAACCCUAAACCUAACCCCAACUUCCAGAACCCUAACUCUAACCCCAACUUCCAGAACCCUAACUCCAACUCUAACCCCAACUUCCAGAGUUAUACCCCCACUACCAAUGCCACACUAGCCCAGGGGGGUUACACUGGAGGGGUUACCGUUUCUUCUAGCCCUAACCCCACUGACCCACAGCCCCCAGAGAUUCUACCUGGUUACACCUACCCUGGUUACACCUACGCUGGUUACACCUACCCUGGUUACACCUACCCUGGUUCAGGUUACGCUGGAGUUGUCAGUGUUAGUCAGUUCACUUCCAACUCCCCCAUUAACCCUAUCCCCAGCCCCAGUAACACACAGUCACAGCCACAGGCAAGGUGGUCUGGGGGCAACUGGGGAACAGGCUACCCAGGGGCAGGCUAUGUUACAACAGGUCUAGCUGGUACUUCCUACCCUGGAGCUGUCUCUUCUGGAAGUGGACCUGGCUACCCUGGAGUUCUGCUCUACCCAGAGAUGGGCUACUCAGACAUGGACUGCCGUGGACAGGCUUACCCUAGGUCUGGGACUGGACUCGGCUCUACUGGGACUGUUAUGCCCCCAGGAAGCCUCUACUCUACCACACCAUCUCCAGCCAACCCCAGCUAUUUGGCCUUGACCCAGCCAUCACUUGACCCAGCCAGCUACUCCGCCUGGACUGCUACUGACACCGGGGUUGCCAUUGAAACCAGCACAGCAG